UACGUAGGGGGCAAGCGUUGUCCGGAUUCAUUGGUCGUAAAGAGCGUGUAGGCGGCCAGGUAGGUCGGUUGUGAAAACUGGAGGCUCAACCUUCAGACGUCGACCGAAACCAUCUGGCUAGAGUCCGGGAGAGGAGAGUGGAAUUCCUGGUGUAGCGGUGAAAUGCGCAGAUAUCAGGAAGAACACCCGUGGCGAAAGCGGCUCUCUGGAACGGUACUGACGCUGAGACGCGAAAGCGUGGGGAGCGAACAGG
This 253-nucleotide ribosomal RNA is filed under the name uncultured bacterium. RNAcentral's name for it is "partial 16S ribosomal RNA". It matches the Rfam family "Bacterial small subunit ribosomal RNA", at positions 524 to 776 of the family's 1533-position model. The record is from RNAcentral.